Molecule: long non-coding RNA, 247 nt
Organism: Scylla paramamosain (green mud crab)
Lineage: Eukaryota; Metazoa; Arthropoda; Malacostraca; Decapoda; Portunidae
Exons: 3
Source: RefSeq, a predicted model, not a curated record
CGUGAGCUCGGCGAGUGUAUACUCGUACGUGACUAUGGUAUUCAUCUACUUAGUUUUUCCUCCCUGUCUUGCCCUUGUGCGUGAGGGAUCUCCCUGUACGUCAGGCCGCCGCAUCGCCCAUCAGGAAGGUACAGUGUAAUGAACUUCAGUCAAACUCGUGUCAUGAACGGUGGAUCAACUUGUACCAAACUGAGUCUCGGGGUAUGCGGUUUGGUUCUUGCCUCCACGCAGCGCCUCCAGUAUGUAA